GGCGGACGGGUGAGUAACACGUGGGAACGUGCCUUUAGGUUCGGAAUAGCUCCUGGAAACGGGUGGUAAUGCCGAAUGUGCCCUUCGGGGGAAAGAUUUAUCGCCUUUAGAGCGGCCCGCGUCUGAUUAGCUAGUUGGUGAGGUAACGGCUCACCAAGGCGACGAUCAGUAGCUGGUCUGAGAGGAUGACCAGCCACACUGGGACUGAGACACGGCCCAGACUCCUACGGGAGGCAGCAGUGGGGAAUCUUGCGCAAUGGGCGGAAGCCUGACGCAGCCAUGCCGCGUGAAUGAUGAAGGUCUUAGGAUUGUAAAAUUCUUUCACCGGGGACGAUAAUGACGGUACCCGGAGAAGAAGCCCCGGCUAACUUCGUGCCAGCAGCCGCGGUAAU
RNAcentral lists this ribosomal RNA (392 nucleotides) under uncultured bacterium. Its description in RNAcentral is "bacterial SSU rRNA". It matches the Rfam family "Bacterial small subunit ribosomal RNA", at positions 97 to 524 of the family's 1533-position model. The record is from RNAcentral.